UUAGAUCAGAAGCGAGAAUGUUGACAUGAGUAGCGACAAAGAGGGUGAGAGACCCUCUCGCCGAAAGUCCAAGGGUUCCUGCUUAAAGCUAAUCUGAGCAGGGUAAGCCGGCCCCUAAGGCGAGGCCGAAAGGCGUAGUCGAUGGGAACCAGGUUAAUAUUCCUGGGCCAGUGGGAUGUGACGGAUCUCGAAGAUUGUCUGCCCUUAUCGGAUUGGGUGGGCCGUUCAGAGGUUCCUGGAAAUAGCCCCACAUCAGACCGUACCCUAAACCGACACAGGUGGACUGGUAGAGUAUACCAAGGCGCUUGAGAGAACCACGUUAAAGGAACUCGGCAAAAUGCUCCCGUAAGUUCGCGAGAAGGGAGCCCCAUAUGUACGCAAGUAUGUGUGGGGGGCACAAACUAGGGGGUGGCGACUGUUUACUUAAAACACAGGGCUGUGCGAAGCCGUAAGGCGACGUAUACAGUCUGACGCCUGCCCGGUGCUGGAAGAUUAAGAGGAGGGGUGCAAGCUCUGAAUUGAAGUCCCAGUAAACGGCGGCCGUAACGAUAACGGUCCUAAGGUAGCGAAAUUCCUUGUCGGGUAAGUUCCGACCUGCACGAAUGGCGUAACGAUCUCCCCGCUGUCUCUAACGUGGACUCAGCGAAAUUGAACUGUCUGUCAAGAUGCAGACUACCCGCGGUUAGACGGAAAGACCCCAUGAACCUUUACUCCAGCUUUGCACUGGUAUCAGGAUUGUGAUGUGCAGGAUAGGUGGUAGGCAUUGAAGCGGGGACGCCAGUCUUCGUGGAGCCUCCCUUGAGAUACCACCCUUCGCCAUCUUGAUAUCUAACCGCGGUCCGUUAUCCGGGUCCGGGACCCUGCAUGGUGGGGAGUUUGACUGGGGCGGUCGCCUCCCAAAUUGUAACGGAGGCGCGCGAUGGUUGGCUCAGACCGGUCGGAAAUCGGUCGUUGAGUGCAAUGGCAGAAGCCAGCCUGACUGCAAGACUGACAAGUCGAGCAGAGACGAAAGUCGGUCAUAGUGAUCCGGUGGUCCCAAGUGGGAGGGCCAUCGCUCAACGGAUAAAAGGUACUCUGGGGAUAACAGGCUGAUGAUGCCCAAGAGUCCAUAUCGACGGCAUCGUUUGGCACCUCGAUGUCGGCUCAUCUCAUCCUGGGGCUGGAGCAGGUCCCAAGGGUAUGGCUGUUCGCCAUUUAAAGAGGUACGUGAGCUGGGUUUAGAACGUCGUGAGACAGUUCGGUCCCUAUCUGCCGUGGGUGCAGGAGACUUGAGAAGAGUUGACCCUAGUACGAGAGGACCGGGUUGAACGAACCACUGGUGGACCAGUUAUCGUGCCAACGGUAGUGCUGGGUAGCUAUGUUCGGACAGGAUAACCGCUGAAGGCAUCUAAGCGGGAAGCCCCCUUCAAAACAAGGUCUCCCUUGAGGGCCGUGGAAGACCACCACGUCGAUAGGCCAG
RNAcentral lists this ribosomal RNA (1459 nucleotides) under metagenome. RNAcentral's name for it is "bacterial LSU rRNA". It matches the Rfam family "Bacterial large subunit ribosomal RNA", at positions 1277 to 2864 of the family's 2925-position model. The record is from RNAcentral.